Molecule: ribosomal RNA, 1472 nt
Filed under: Lactiplantibacillus plantarum
Lineage: Bacteria; Bacillati; Bacillota; Bacilli; Lactobacillales; Lactobacillaceae
Description: bacterial SSU rRNA
Rfam family: Bacterial small subunit ribosomal RNA
Source: RNAcentral
ACGCUGGCGGCGUGCCUAAUACAUGCAAGUCGAACGAACUCUGGUAUUGAUUGGUGCUUGCAUCAUGAUUUACAUUUGAGUGAGUGGCGAACUGGUGAGUAACACGUGGGAAACCUGCCCAGAAGCGGGGGAUAACACCUGGAAACAGAUGCUAAUACCGCAUAACAACUUGGACCGCAUGGUCCGAGCUUGAAAGAUGGCUUCGGCUAUCACUUUUGGAUGGUCCCGCGGCGUAUUAGCUAGAUGGUGGGGUAACGGCUCACCAUGGCAAUGAUACGUAGCCGACCUGAGAGGGUAAUCGGCCACAUUGGGACUGAGACACGGCCCAAACUCCUACGGGAGGCAGCAGUAGGGAAUCUUCCACAAUGGACGAAAGUCUGAUGGAGCAACGCCGCGUGAGUGAAGAAGGGUUUCGGCUCGUAAAACUCUGUUGUUAAAGAAGAACAUAUCUGAGAGUAACUGUUCAGGUAUUGACGGUAUUUAACCAGAAAGCCACGGCUAACUACGUGCCAGCAGCCGCGGUAAUACGUAGGUGGCAAGCGUUGUCCGGAUUUAUUGGGCGUAAAGCGAGCGCAGGCGGUUUUUUAAGUCUGAUGUGAAAGCCUUCGGCUCAACCGAAGAAGUGCAUCGGAAACUGGRAAACUUGAGUGCAGAAGAGGACAGUGGAACUCCAUGUGUAGCGGUGAAAUGCGUAGAUAUAUGGAAGAACACCAGUGGCGAAGGCGGCUGUCUGGUCUGUAACUGACGCUGAGGCUCGAAAGUAUGGGUAGCAAACAGGAUUAGAUACCCUGGUAGUCCAUACCGUAAACGAUGAAUGCUAAGUGUUGGAGGGUUUCCGCCCUUCAGUGCUGCAGCUAACGCAUUAAGCAUUCCGCCUGGGGAGUACGGCCGCAAGGCUGAAACUCAAAGGAAUUGACGGGGGCCCGCACAAGCGGUGGAGCAUGUGGUUUAAUUCGAAGCUACGCGAAGAACCUUACCAGGUCUUGACAUACUAUGCAAAUCUAAGAGAUUAGACGUUCCCUUCGGGGACAUGGAUACAGGUGGUGCAUGGUUGUCGUCAGCUCGUGUCGUGAGAUGUUGGGUUAAGUCCCGCAACGAGCGCAACCCUUAUUAUCAGUUGCCAGCAUUAAGUUGGGCACUCUGGUGAGACUGCCGGUGACAAACCGGAGGAAGGUGGGGAUGACGUCAAAUCAUCAUGCCCCUUAUGACCUGGGCUACACACGUGCUACAAUGGAUGGUACAACGAGUUGCGAACUCGCGAGAGUAAGCUAAUCUCUUAAAGCCAUUCUCAGUUCGGAUUGUAGGCUGCAACUCGCCUACAUGAAGUCGGAAUCGCUAGUAAUCGCGGAUCAGCAUGCCGCGGUGAAUACGUUCCCGGGCCUUGUACACACCGCCCGUCACACCAUGAGAGUUUGUAACACCCAAAGUCGGUGGGGUAACCUUUUAGGAACCAGCCGCCUAAGGUGGACAGA